GAACAAAAAUUCUAAAUAGCCUAGUAUUAAACAUAGGAUGAUUUCAAAAAUUAUCUCAAUCACGAGUAUAAUCUACUAUUUUGACGUGACAUAGGUGGUCGUUCAAAUAUUUUAUACUUUAAUGUUGAUAUUUAUUAUGACUUUUGGGUCCUUUUUGCGUCUUCCUCUUUGGUGAUGAUUCCUCAUUUUUUUAGUGAGGGUAGCAAGGGUUCUCUGUAACAUGAUGCUUCAGGGGGUUGGUAUUUGGGUUUGAUUUGUGGUCUCUUUCUUCCUAAUAAUCAAAAGCUAUCUUAUCUAUUCCUUAGCUCCCUAAGAUGCGGAUGAUAAACUUAUAUGGAAUUUUGAAAAGUUUGGAUGGUAUUCUAUCAAGAGCGGUUAUUGGUUUACUCUUGUUAUAAUAAGGGCUUGGGUCGUGCUUCUCCUUUUAGGAGAUUCUCGGGUUAGUGGAAAAAAGUUUGGACCUUGAAUAUCCCUCCAAAAGUUAGAUUGUUUGCUUGGCAAGUAUCCUCUAAUUGGAUUCCUACUAAAAUUAAUUUGGCUGCUCAUAGUUUCUUAAUUGAUGAUUUUUGUCCUCUUUGCUAGUUCCAUAAAGAGACUACUCAUCAUGCGUUGUGAAGGUUGGAAAUUCUGGACGCGAAGACAGUCUUUUGCGUGGCAAAAGCAGCUCUUCUGCAAAUGUAACUUCUAAUGACCAACAGGAUAAACAAUCAAUCAGCUAAAGAAAUUUAUUCGAGGAAGCAGCAAUAUGAAAGUAUAAGCAAUCGUGGCUCAAUUGAUAACCAUAGUGGAAAGGGUGUGGGCAUAUCUUCUACCCUAGAUGUUUCAGAUAAAUCAUUUGGCACCGAUAGCAUAUUGUACAACAAAACUAAAAUCAUCCCAGUCUUUGAAGAUUCACUGUAGAGCUUAAUGCUGAGAAGGUAAUUGUGCCAUCAAUUGUGGGCGAGUCUAUUCAGAAUUCUUCUACUUCAAUACUGGAUAAGCUUUUUAGCAGUGGAAUAGCGUUAAGAUGUUGCUGGCUCUUCUAGUUCCCUUGAGGUAUUUACAAUAUCUAAUGGCAUUCUUUGUAGCCAUUGUGUUUCCUCUGAUAUCUAAACUGUCUUCAAGUAUUUGGUUUUUAAACAAUUUCCAAAACAUCCACAGAUAUAGUUCGAAAUUGAAUUUUCCAUUUUAGUGCUAUAUACUAGUUUUCUUAGUUUAUAUUUCCAUUGAUUUGACGAAUCUUUUUAUUGGAUUAAUUACAAUUGAGAAUCCUAUUUUAA
Long non-coding RNA from Cannabis sativa, 1259 nucleotides. RefSeq lists it as uncharacterized. The record is from RefSeq and is a predicted model, not a curated record. The transcript has 2 exons. Lineage: Eukaryota; Viridiplantae; Streptophyta; Magnoliopsida; Rosales; Cannabaceae.